This 366-nucleotide ribosomal RNA is filed under the name uncultured bacterium. Its description in RNAcentral is "bacterial SSU rRNA". It matches the Rfam family "Bacterial small subunit ribosomal RNA", at positions 335 to 691 of the family's 1533-position model. The record is from RNAcentral.
ACUCCUACGGGAGGCAGCAGUGGGGAAUAUUGCACAAUGGGGGAAACCCUGAUGCAGCCAUGCCGCGUGUGUGAAGAAGGCCUUCGGGUUGUAAAGCACUUUCAGUAGGGAGGAAGGUAGUGUAGUUAACACCUGCAUUAUUUGUACGUUACCUACAGAAGAAGCACCGGCUAACUCCGUGCCAGCAGCCGCGGUAAUACGGAGGGUGCGAGCGUUAAUCGGAAUUACGUGGGCGUAAAGCGCAUGCAGGCGGCCUGUUAAGUCAGAUGUGAAACGCCCGGGGCUUAACCUCGGAAUUGCAUUUGAAACUGGCAGGCUAGAGUCUUGUAGAGGGGUUAGAAUUUCAGGUGUAGCGGUGAAAUGCGU